AUUGAACGCUGGCGGCAGGCCUAACACAUGCAAGUCGAGCGGAUGAAGGGAGCUUGCUCCUGGAUUCAGCGGCGGACGGGUGAGUAAUGCCUAGGAAUCUGCCUGGUAGUGGGGGAUAACGUCCGGAAACGGGCGCUAAUACCGCAUACGUCCUGAGGGAGAAAGUGGGGGAUCUUCGGACCUCACGCUAUCAGAUGAGCCUAGGUCGGAUUAGCUAGUUGGUGGGGUAAAGGCCUACCAAGGCGACGAUCCGUAACUGGUCUGAGAGGAUGAUCAGUCACACUGGAAAGGAGACACGGUCCAGACUCCUACGGGAGGCAGCAGUGGGGAAUAUUGGACAAUGGGCGAAAGCAUGAUCCAGCCAUGCCGCGUGUGUGAAGAAGGUCUUCGGAUUGUAAAGCACUUUAAGUUGGGAGGAAGGGCAGUAAGUUAAUACCUUGCUGUUUUGACGUUACCAAAAGAAUAAGCACCGGCUAACUUCGUG
This 484-nucleotide ribosomal RNA is filed under the name uncultured bacterium. RNAcentral describes it as "partial 16S ribosomal RNA". It matches the Rfam family "Bacterial small subunit ribosomal RNA", at positions 30 to 507 of the family's 1533-position model. The record is from RNAcentral.